CUACGGGACGCAGCAGUGGGGAAUAUUGGACAAUGGGGGAAACCCUGAUCCAGCAAUGCCGCGUGUGUGAAGAAGGCCUGCGGGUUGUAAAGCACUUUCGGUUGGGAGGACUGCUUCUAGCACUAAUAUUGUUGGAAGUUGACGUUACCUUCAGAAGAAGCACCGGCUAACUCCGUGCCAGCAGCCGCGGUAAUACGGAGGGUGCACGCGUUAAUCGGAAUUACUGGGCGUAAAGCGCGCGUAGGCGGCUAGAGCAGUGGGUGUGAAAGCCCCGGGCUUAACCUGGGAACUGCAUCCGAUAAUGUCUAGCUUGAGUACAGGAGAGGAGAGUGGAAUUCCACAUGUAGCGGUGAAAUGCGUAGAUAUGUGGAGGAACACCAAUGGCGAAGGCAGCUCUCUGGCCUGAUACUGACGCUGAGGUGCGAAAGCGUGGGGAGCAAACAGGAUUAGAUACCCCCGUAGUC
This 464-nucleotide ribosomal RNA is filed under the name uncultured bacterium. Its description in RNAcentral is "partial 16S ribosomal RNA". It matches the Rfam family "Bacterial small subunit ribosomal RNA", at positions 339 to 795 of the family's 1533-position model. The record is from RNAcentral.